This 286-nucleotide ribosomal RNA is filed under the name uncultured bacterium. RNAcentral describes it as "partial 16S ribosomal RNA". It matches the Rfam family "Bacterial small subunit ribosomal RNA", at positions 775 to 1067 of the family's 1533-position model. The record is from RNAcentral.
GGAUUAGAUACCCUGGUAGUCCACGCCGUAAACGAUGAUAACUAGCCGUUGGAUUUAUCCAGUGGCGCAGCUAACGCGUUAAGUUAUCCGCCUGGGGAGUACGGCCGCAAGGCUAAAACUCAAAUGAAUUGACGGGGACCCGCACAAGCGGUGGAGCAUGUGGUUUAAUUCGAUGCAACGCGAAAAACCUUACCUACACUUGACAUACUUCGAAUUUUCUAGAGAUAGAUUAGUGCCUUCGGGAGCGGAGAUACAGGUGCUGCAUGGCUGUCGUCAGCUCGUGCCG